This 396-nucleotide ribosomal RNA is filed under the name uncultured bacterium. RNAcentral's name for it is "bacterial SSU rRNA". It matches the Rfam family "Bacterial small subunit ribosomal RNA", at positions 505 to 898 of the family's 1533-position model. The record is from RNAcentral.
GUGUCAGCCGCCGCGGUAAGACGAACCGUGCGAACGUUAUUCGGAAUCACUGGGCUUAAAGCGCGUGUAGGCGGGAGGGCACGUCCGUCGUUGAAAGCCCCCGGCUCAACCGGGGAACGGGCGCGGAUACGACCUUCCUGGAGGGGCGUAGGGGGACCUGGAACUUCCGGUGGAGCGGUGAAAUGCGUUGAGAUCGGAAGGAACGCCCGUGGCGAAAGCGAGGUCCUGGACGCCUACUGACGCUGAGACGCGAAAGCCAGGGGAGCGAACGGGAUUAGAUACCCCGGUAGUCCUGGCCGUAAACGAUGGGCACUGGGUAGGGGGCUCGCCGAUGGGCUCCCUGCCGCAGCGAAAGCGUGAAGUGCCCCGCCUGGGGAGUAUGGUCGCAAGGCUGAA